CACCAAGGAGGAGCUGAAGUUGUCCAGCUUUCGAAACAUGGCAGACUUUUACCAUAGCAUACUGGUCUCCAGAAUAUUUAGCAGCUUUAUUUUGCAUUGUUGUCACAUUCACAG
Chiroxiphia lanceolata (lance-tailed manakin) is the source of this 114-nucleotide long non-coding RNA. RefSeq lists it as uncharacterized. NCBI's taxonomy places the organism in Eukaryota, Metazoa, Chordata, Aves, Passeriformes, Pipridae. The transcript has 3 exons. The record is from RefSeq and is a predicted model, not a curated record.